GAGAAACGCUGGCGGCGCACAUAAGACAUGCAAGUCGAACGGAACUUUAAUAAAUGUUUACAUUCGUUAAAGUUUAGUGGCGGACGGGUGAGUAACACGUGAGCAACCUGCCUUUAAGAGGGGGAUAACAUUGAGAAAUCAGUGCUAAUACCGCAUAAUGCAAUUUGUUUGCAUGAACGAAUUGCCAAAGGAGAAAUCCGCUUAAAGAUGGGCUCGCGGCUGAUUAGCUAGUUGGUAGGGUAACGGCCUACCAAGGCGACGAUCAGUAGCCGGCCUGAGAGGGUGAACGGCCACAUUGGGACUGAGACACGGCCCAAACUCCUACGGGAGGCAGCAGGUGGGGAAUAUUGCACAAUGGGGGAAACCCUGAUGCAGCGACGCCGCGUGAGUGAAGAAGUAUUUCGGUAUGUAAAGCUCUAUCAGCAGGGAAGAUAAUGACGGUACCUGACUAAGAAGCUCCGGCUAAAUACGUG
This 473-nucleotide ribosomal RNA is filed under the name uncultured bacterium. RNAcentral describes it as "bacterial SSU rRNA". It matches the Rfam family "Bacterial small subunit ribosomal RNA", at positions 28 to 507 of the family's 1533-position model. The record is from RNAcentral.